Non-coding RNA from Schizosaccharomyces pombe (fission yeast), 317 nucleotides. Lineage: Eukaryota; Fungi; Ascomycota; Schizosaccharomycetes; Schizosaccharomycetales; Schizosaccharomycetaceae. The record is from the annotation of a GenBank genome assembly.
CUAUUUGUAGCUCAUCUUAUUAAUUGUACUGUAACGUUUGAUGAUCGUAAGUUAGUUUUAUGCCACAACGACACUAUAAAAGGAAUUCUCAAUUUACAAGUGGGAAGUGCACACUCUCAACCAGAGGAACGAAAAAAAAUCGUAUAUUGACUAUGUCAAAAUAAACCAACUGGGUACAUAUAAUGAGUCAUAAAAGGCAGCAAACAUCGCGUCGCAAUGUUGCAAGGCUUAUGUACAUACAAAUUCGUUAACUACGAUAGGAAUUCAUGGCAUUGGAACACAAUCAAUAAUUGUAAAUCCGGCAAUCAUAAAAACCU